Molecule: ribosomal RNA, 137 nt
Filed under: uncultured bacterium
Lineage: Bacteria
Description: partial 16S ribosomal RNA
Rfam family: Bacterial small subunit ribosomal RNA
Source: RNAcentral
UGGGAAUAUUGCACAAUGGGGGAAACCCUGAUGCAGCGACGCCGCGUGAGCGAGGAAGUAUUUCGGUAUGUAAAGCUCUGUCAGCAGGGAAGAAGAAUGACGGUACCUGAAGAAGAAGCACCGGCUAAAUACGUGCC